UUUAACUGAAGAGUUUGAUCAUGGCUCAGAUUGAACGCUGGCGGCAGGCUUAACACAUGCAAGUCGAGCGGGGGAAGGUAGCUUGCUACCGGACCUAGCGGCGGACGGGUGAGUAAUGCUUAGGAAUCUGCCUAUUAGUGGGGGACAACAUCUCGAAAGGGAUGCUAAUACCGCAUACGUCCUACGGGAGAAAGCAGGGGAUCUUCGGACCUUGCGCUAAUAGAUGAGCCUAAGUCGGAUUAGCUAGUUGGUGGGGUAAAGGCCUACCAAGGCGACGAUCUGUAGCGGGUCUGAGAGGAUGAUCCGCCACACUGGGACUGAGACACGGCCCAGACUCCUACGGGAGGCAGCAGUGGGGAAUAUUGGACAAUGGGGGGA
RNAcentral lists this ribosomal RNA (378 nucleotides) under Acinetobacter baumannii. RNAcentral's name for it is "bacterial SSU rRNA". It matches the Rfam family "Bacterial small subunit ribosomal RNA", at positions 1 to 379 of the family's 1533-position model. Lineage: Bacteria; Pseudomonadati; Pseudomonadota; Gammaproteobacteria; Moraxellales; Moraxellaceae. The record is from RNAcentral.